CCAAGGUUCUAUUUUUAGCCAUGGCGGCCAUCUUGAUUGGAUGGCUGGGUCGCUGGACACAUUUUUCAAACUACAUACCCCAAAGAUGGUUGUGGCCAAGUUUGGAUUGAUUUCGCCAAGUAGUUUCAGAGGAGAAGAUUUUUGUAAAAGAUCACUAAGAUUUACGAAAAAUGGUUAAAAAUUGACUAUAAAGGGCAAUAACUCCUAAAGGGGUCAACUGACCAUUUCGGUCAUUUUGACUUAUUUGUAAAUAUUACUUUGCUG
RNAcentral lists this long non-coding RNA (264 nucleotides) under Mytilus galloprovincialis (Mediterranean mussel). Lineage: Eukaryota; Metazoa; Mollusca; Bivalvia; Mytilida; Mytilidae. The record is from RNAcentral.